AGAUACCCUGGUAGUCCACGCCCUAAACGAUGAGUACUAAACGUUGGAUAAAACCAGUGUUGAAGUUAACACAUUAAGUACUCCGCCUGAGUAGUACGUACGCAAGUAUGAAACUUAAAGGAAUUGACGGGACUCCGCACAAGCGGUGGAUCAUGUUGUUUAAUUCGAAGGUACCCGAAAAACCUCACCAGGUCUUGACAUGCUUUUGCAAAGCUGUAGAAAUACAGUGGAGGUUAUCAGAAGCACAGGUGGUGCAUGGUUGUCGUCAGCUCGUGUCGUGAGAUGUUGGGUUAAGUCCCGCAACGAGCGCAACCCUUGUUGUUAAUUGCCAUCAUUAAGUUGGGGACUUUAGCAAGACUGCCAAUGAUAAAUUGGAGGAAGGUGGGGACGACGUCAAAUCAUCAU
RNAcentral lists this ribosomal RNA (405 nucleotides) under Candidatus Phytoplasma solani. Its description in RNAcentral is "bacterial SSU rRNA". It matches the Rfam family "Bacterial small subunit ribosomal RNA", at positions 780 to 1196 of the family's 1533-position model. Lineage: Bacteria; Bacillati; Mycoplasmatota; Mollicutes; Acholeplasmatales; Acholeplasmataceae. The record is from RNAcentral.